ACAGAUUUUCUGACCCAAAGUGGAAUAUUGGCUGAUGAAUCCAUCAAUAAAGAAGAAGACAAGGGGAGUAUUGAAGAGAAUUUGUUGGGGUCCAAAGAUGACGGGACUGUGCGGUGUUCACUUAAGUUUGAAGUAAUUGAUGACACUGUUGAGCAAAGAUUGAGGGGUUUUGAUGGGAAAUCAGCAAAAAAUAGGAAGAAAAAGAAUGCAAUACAUCAAGUGGAAAAAGAGAAUGGAGAAAAAACGGUAUCAAGAAAAGCCAAACAUAGUAAUAUGGAAGAAGCCAAAGAAAGAAGAUUGAAGUAAUUGAUGAUACAUCAAUGCUUGAUAUAUCUCAAGAUGGAAAACGUUGCACUGUUGAUAAAGGAUUGAGGGGUUUUGAUGAGAAAGCAGCAAUAAAGAAUGCAAGAAAAGCAAAACUUAGUAAUAUGGAAG
Molecule: long non-coding RNA, 435 nt
Filed under: Nicotiana benthamiana
Lineage: Eukaryota; Viridiplantae; Streptophyta; Magnoliopsida; Solanales; Solanaceae
Description: long non-coding RNA (NBEN_LNC003651)
Source: RNAcentral